UUAAAUUGAAGAGUUUGAUCAUGGCUCAGAUUGAACGCUGGCGGCAGGCCUAACACAUGCAAGUCGAACGGUAACAGGAAGCAGCUUGCUGCUUCGCUGACGAGUGGCGGACGGGUGAGUAAUGUCUGGGAAACUGCCUGAUGGAGGGGGAUAACUACUGGAAACGGUAGCUAAUACCGCAUAACGUCGCAAGACCAAAGAGGGGGACCUUCGGGCCUCUUGCCAUCGGAUGUGCCCAGAUGGGAUUAGCUAGUAGGUGGGGUAACGGCUCACCUAGGCGACGAUCCCUAGCUGGUCUGAGAGGAUGACCAGCCACACUGGAACUGAGACACGGUCCAGACUCCUACGGGAGGCAGCAGUGG
This 362-nucleotide ribosomal RNA is filed under the name Escherichia coli. RNAcentral describes it as "bacterial SSU rRNA". It matches the Rfam family "Bacterial small subunit ribosomal RNA", at positions 1 to 357 of the family's 1533-position model. Lineage: Bacteria; Pseudomonadati; Pseudomonadota; Gammaproteobacteria; Enterobacterales; Enterobacteriaceae. The record is from RNAcentral.